ACGGCUACCUUGUUACGACUUCACCCCAGUCGCUGGCUUCACCUUCGGCGGCUCCCUCCUUACGGUCAGGUCACCGACUUCGGGUGCUUCCAACUCCCAUGGUGUGACGGGCGGUGUGUACAAGGCCCGGGAACGUAUUCACCGCGACAUUCUGAUUCGCGAUUACUAGCGAUUCCAGCUUCAUGCAGUCGAGUUGCAGACUGCAAUCCGAACUGGGACUGGGUUUUUGUGAUUUGCUUAACGUCGCCGUCUCGCUUCACUUUGUUGCCAGCCAUUGUAGCACGUGUGUAGCCCAAGACAUAAGGGGCAUGAUGAUUUGACGUCAUCCCCACCUUCCUCCGUGUUAUCCACGGCAGUCCCCCUAGAGUGCCCAACUUAAUGAUGGCUACUAAGGGUAAGGGUUGCGCUCGUUGCGGGACUUAACCCAACAUCUCACGACACGAGCUGACGACAACCAUGCACCACCUGUCUCCGAUGCCCCGAAGGGAAAGCAUAUCU
RNAcentral lists this ribosomal RNA (498 nucleotides) under uncultured bacterium. RNAcentral's name for it is "partial 16S ribosomal RNA". The record is from RNAcentral.